UCCAGCCUGCCCAGUGACAAAGUUCAACGGCCACGGUACCCUAACCGUGCGAAGGUAGCAUAAUCACUUGUUCUUUAAAUGAGGACUAGUAUCAACGGCACCACGAGGGUUGCACUGUCUCCUUUUUCAUAUCAGUGAAACUAAUCUCCCCGUGAAGAAGCGGGGAUACCCCUAUAAGACGAGAAGACCCCAUGGAGCUUAAAGCCCAGCUACACCCCUGGCUCUUAUAACCCACUUAACUUUCCCCCAGGCCCUAUGUAGCUAGUUUUCGGUUGGGGCGACCACGGAGUAUAACAAAACCUCCACAAUGAACGGGACUAACCCCUUAUCUAAGACCAACACCCCUAAGAAUUAGAACACUAACAUAAAAUGAUCCAUUAUUUGAUCAAUGAACCAAGUUACCCUGGGGAUAACAGCGCAAUCCAUUUUAAGAGCCCUUAUCGACAAAUGGGUUUACGACCUCGAUGUUGGAUCAGGGUAUCCUAGUGGUGCAGCAGCUACUGACGGUUCGUUUGUUCAACGAUUAAAACCCU
Molecule: ribosomal RNA, 533 nt
Filed under: Mantidactylus aerumnalis
Lineage: Eukaryota; Metazoa; Chordata; Amphibia; Anura; Mantellidae
Description: partial 16S ribosomal RNA
Rfam family: Bacterial large subunit ribosomal RNA
Source: RNAcentral